RNAcentral lists this microRNA precursor (76 nucleotides) under Myotis lucifugus (little brown bat). RNAcentral's name for it is "mir-9193 microRNA precursor family". It matches the Rfam family "mir-9193 microRNA precursor family". The record is from Rfam by way of RNAcentral. Lineage: Eukaryota; Metazoa; Chordata; Mammalia; Chiroptera; Vespertilionidae.
CGUGCACUCAGGAGGGGUCCCUCAGCCCAGAUUGUGAGAGGGUGCAGGCCAGGCUGAGGGACCUUACUGGUGCACA